UCAGACGAUGCGUCAUGCAUAUCAAUAAGCGGAGGAAAAGAAACUAACAAGGAUUCCCCUAGUAACGGCGAGUGAAGCGGGAAGAGCUCAAAUUUGAAAUCUUAAAGGGUUUCCCUUUACGAAUUGUAGUUUAAAGAAGUGUUUUCUGUUGAGGUUUUGGUAAAAGUUCUUUGGAAUAGGACAUCAUAGAGGGUGAGAAUCCCGUAUUUGACCUUUACUUUCAACUUUGUGAUUACACUUUCAAAGAGUCGGAUUGUUUGGGAAUGCAGUCCAAAAUGGGUGGUAAAUUUCAUCUAAAGCUAAAUAUUGGCGAGAGACCGAUAGCGAACAAGUACCGUGAGGGAAAGAUGAAAAGAACUUUGAAAAGAGAGUUAAACAGUACGUGAAAUUGUCAAAAGGGAAGCGUUUGACACCAGUGUUGUUUUUCUGAAAAUCAAUUAAAGAACUGUUUAUGCUAAGCUGUUUAGACUUUAUCAGCUAUCUGUUUAGUUUUGAGCUUUUCUUUAAUGCACUUUUCAGUUAACAAGUCAACAUCAAUUUCUUUUGCUGUAAAAAAGCUUGAGGAAGGUGGCUUGAGAUUCGUCUUAAGUGUUUAUAGCCUCUUGCCUAUGCAGUCGGAGAGAUUGAGGUCUGCAGCGUAGAUCCUUCGGGGCUAAAUGCAUUUGUGCUAAGUUAUAGCAUUUCAUAGACAACUUGUUGACUAUGAUUUGUCUUGUAGCUUACUCGCUUAUGUUAUUUUACCUACGCUUAGGAUGUUGAAUCUGUGCGAGACUAC
Molecule: ribosomal RNA, 775 nt
Filed under: uncultured Neocallimastigales
Lineage: Eukaryota; Fungi; Neocallimastigomycota; Neocallimastigomycetes; Neocallimastigales
Description: partial large subunit ribosomal RNA
Rfam family: Eukaryotic large subunit ribosomal RNA
Source: RNAcentral